UUUCCUACGGGAGGCAGCAGUGGGGAAUAUUGGACAAUGGGCGAAAGCCUGAUCCAGCCAUGCCGCGUGUGUGAAGAAGGUCUUCGGAUUGUAAAGCACUUUAAGUUGGGAGGAAGGGCAGUAAGUUAAUACCUUGCUGUUUGACGUACCGACAGAAUAGCCCAUUUGCCC
RNAcentral lists this ribosomal RNA (171 nucleotides) under Pseudomonas sp. NA332. RNAcentral describes it as "partial 16S ribosomal RNA". It matches the Rfam family "Bacterial small subunit ribosomal RNA", at positions 335 to 499 of the family's 1533-position model. Lineage: Bacteria; Pseudomonadati; Pseudomonadota; Gammaproteobacteria; Pseudomonadales; Pseudomonadaceae. The record is from RNAcentral.